Xiphophorus hellerii (green swordtail) is the source of this 607-nucleotide long non-coding RNA. RefSeq lists it as uncharacterized. NCBI's taxonomy places the organism in Eukaryota, Metazoa, Chordata, Actinopteri, Cyprinodontiformes, Poeciliidae. The record is from RefSeq and is a predicted model, not a curated record. The transcript is spliced from 2 exons.
CCUCGAUGCGCCGCGACUUCUGCGCGUCCAGGUCGAUGGACCGACACGUGUUGAUCGCCUCGGAGAGCCGCAGAAUGAGCAGGAGGGCGAGGAAGGGGAGCCACAUGGUUGCCCGGGAUGAGGGAAGAAACGAGCUCCGUGAACGGAUGGAAGGAAAACUACUGAUCUCUGACUGACCUGGUCUGCAGCCUGGACCAGAGCGCUCCACUCCAGUUUGGGGAUCAUCCGGCAGACAAACUUAGGAUUAAAAUCCACCUCGUUCACCUUCACCUCAGUGGCCUGCACAAAGAUCACAUCAUUCAUAAACACCAGCACUGUCAGAUUGGACUAUCAGGGGUCUCUGAUCAACAGCAAAUCAGAUGGAAAUAAGUUAUCACAUCUAUCAGCAUGGAGAGAGUUAUGAAGCCAUUUCUAAGGCUUUAAGUUAACCACAGUUAGAGUCAGGGUUUAUUGAUUCAGCAAUACACACAAAAAUCAUCCUGAUGAGUCCCAACACUGUUCAAAAAAUAUUCUAAGGACGGUCGAGGCAACUAAGCUGACUUUUUUUGGCUUAUGUGCAUUCCCUUAUAUCUUCACCAUAACAAAUUAAAUCCUCAUUUAAAAUCUG